UGCAUAUCAAUAAGCGGAGGAAAAGAAACCAACAGGGAUUGCCUCAGUAGCGGCGAGUGAAGCGGCAAGAGCUCAGAUUUGAAAUCGUGCUUUGCGGCACGAGUUGUAGAUUGCAGGUUGGAGUCUGUGUGGAAGGCGGUGUCCAAGUCCCUUGGAACAGGGCGCCCAGGAGGGUGAGAGCCCCGUGGGAUGCCGGCGGAAGCAGUGAGGCCCUUCUGACGAGUCGAGUUGUUUGGGAAUGCAGCUCCAAGCGGGUGGUAAAUUCCAUCUAAGGCUAAAUACUGGCGAGAGACCGAUAGCGAACAAGUACUGUGAAGGAAAGAUGAAAAGCACUUUGAAAAGAGAGUGAAACAGCACGUGAAAUUGUUGAAAGGGAAGGGUAUUGCGCCCGACAUGGGGAUUGCGCACCGCUGCCUCUCGUGGGCGGCGCUCUGGGCUUUCCCUGGGCCAGCAUCGGUUCUUGCUGCAGGAGAAGGGGUUCUGGAACGUGGCUCUUCGGAGUGUUAUAGCCAGGGCCAGAUGCUGCGUGCGGGGACCGAGGACUGCGGCCGUGUAGGU
RNAcentral lists this ribosomal RNA (558 nucleotides) under Pichia kudriavzevii. RNAcentral describes it as "partial large subunit ribosomal RNA". It matches the Rfam family "Eukaryotic large subunit ribosomal RNA", at positions 37 to 606 of the family's 3401-position model. Lineage: Eukaryota; Fungi; Ascomycota; Pichiomycetes; Pichiales; Pichiaceae. The record is from RNAcentral.